RNAcentral lists this long non-coding RNA (865 nucleotides) under Marmota monax (woodchuck). Lineage: Eukaryota; Metazoa; Chordata; Mammalia; Rodentia; Sciuridae. The record is from RNAcentral.
GCUUUGCAUUUCUCUCCACUGAUAAAGACACGGGACCUGAAAACAUCACAAGCCUUAUGAUUUCUCUUCUUCUCAAACCAUGGUGUCACGCUCCCUUUGAAGCCUUUUUGUCUGGCCCCAAUUUAGGGAAUAAUAUUUCUAACUUGCUUAGAGAUUAUCUGAACAUAGAUUUCCUGCCCUUUGAGGAUCAAGGGCAACACUGCAAGCAGAAGUGUGUGAAUGAUGAUGGGGUAGGUGAGUGGAAAUCCUUCAGGUAGCGUGGGCCAAUCAGAUGCCGUUAUCCUCAGGAUUUGCCUCAAAUCUUUCUCCCUCCCAGAGUUUUCUUCUGCACCUCCAUGUCUUGGCCCCUGGCUUCCUCACCAACUUCAUCUACAUUCUCUCAGUCCACACGAAAACUAUUCUAAACUGCUGUUUGUUUGGAAUUCAUCGUUUCUUUAAAACUUCCCACGGGAAAUUCAUCGCCCCUCUUCCAUUUCUAUUGCUCUUAAAUGUAUCCAGAGCCCCAUAGUUUCUUGCUCGGACUUGCAAAUGGGCUUCCAGCAUGACCCUACUUGGUGCCCACUAAUACUCUCACCAGCCAUUUUCAAGCAUGCAGAAAUAAUCAGAAUAUUUCCUGUUGAAAGUCCCCUGUAGCUUCUCAUGCCUCUGGAUCUGGUCACUCACUGUGGCACUGCUCUUCAUGGUCUGGCUUCUACCUUCCUUUCUAGUCCCAUCUCCCCUCUCUUUAGACACCCCUCUCCCAGUCUUCAUCCCAUAAUAUUUUCUGAAUUCUCCCACAGACAUUUCUUUAAUCAAAUGUCCCUUCCUCUGUCCCCACUUGGAGAACAUCCAUUGUCCACUCAGCAUUUUGCCACUUGACUCAUUU